RNAcentral lists this transfer RNA (87 nucleotides) under Candidatus Shapirobacteria bacterium CG_4_9_14_3_um_filter_39_13. Its description in RNAcentral is "tRNA-Leu". It matches the Rfam family "tRNA". Rfam says of the family: Transfer RNA (tRNA) molecules are approximately 80 nucleotides in length. Their secondary structure includes four short double-helical elements and three loops (D, anti-codon, and T loops). Further hydrogen bonds mediate the characteristic L-shaped molecular structure. tRNAs have two regions of fundamental functional importance: the anti-codon, which is responsible for specific mRNA codon recognition, and the 3' end, to which the tRNAs corresponding amino acid is attached (by aminoacyl-tRNA synthetases). tRNAs cope with the degeneracy of the genetic code in two manners: having more than one tRNA (with a specific anti-codon) for a particular amino acid; and 'wobble' base-pairing, i.e. permitting non-standard base-pairing at the 3rd anti-codon position. The record is from RNAcentral. Lineage: Bacteria; Candidatus Shapironibacteriota.
GGGUCAGUGGCGGAAUCGGUAUACGCGCGACACUUAAAAUGUCGUCCCGUCAACGGGGUGAGAGUUCGAGUCUCUCCUGACCCACUA